This 73-nucleotide transfer RNA is filed under the name Brevundimonas viscosa. Its description in RNAcentral is "tRNA_Thr_TGT". It matches the Rfam family "tRNA". From Rfam's summary of the family: Transfer RNA (tRNA) molecules are approximately 80 nucleotides in length. Their secondary structure includes four short double-helical elements and three loops (D, anti-codon, and T loops). RNAcentral also lists the same sequence under 1 other name. The record is from RNAcentral. Lineage: Bacteria; Pseudomonadati; Pseudomonadota; Alphaproteobacteria; Caulobacterales; Caulobacteraceae.
GCCGGCUUAGCUCAGCUGGUAGAGCAGCGGUUUUGUAAACCGAAGGUCACGGGUUCGAUCCCUGUAGCCGGCA